Molecule: unclassified non-coding RNA, 260 nt
Filed under: uncultured fungus
Lineage: Eukaryota; Fungi
Description: partial contains small subunit ribosomal RNA, internal transcribed spacer 1, and 5.8S ribosomal RNA
Rfam family: Eukaryotic small subunit ribosomal RNA (bases 1-73)
Source: RNAcentral
GCAAACUUGGUCAUUUAGAGGAAGUAAAAGUCGUAACAAGGUUUCCGUAGGUGAACCUGCGGAAGGAUCAUUCACAAUAAGUGUUUAAUGGCACUUUUAAAAUCCAUUACCCACCUUGUGUGCACUGUAGAUGGAAUUUUUUUUCCGUCAUACUUACAUACCAUUUUCUUGAAAAUCGUCUACAAUUUGAGUAAUAAAAAAACUCGAAUACAACUUUCAACAACGGAUCUCUUGGCUCUCGCAUCGAUGAAGAACGCAGC